This 300-nucleotide long non-coding RNA is filed under the name Ananas comosus (pineapple). Its description in RNAcentral is "long non-coding RNA (ACOM_LNC031476)". The record is from RNAcentral. Lineage: Eukaryota; Viridiplantae; Streptophyta; Magnoliopsida; Poales; Bromeliaceae.
GAAACACCGCGAAUUCACAAUGAAUCUACUGUCGGGGCCACCGGUAAUCGGCCAUAACGGCGCCUUCCGGCCGGCGUUAGACGAUGAAUCAGUAGACUGCGACGACUUCGACGUCAUUGCAACCAAAGUAGAUUGAGAGUGUAGUGGCCGAUAGGAUUCAAAGCGGACGAUGUGGUUACAAACAGUAAGGCGGUUGAUAGGGUAAAUGGGAGAUGUAAGGCGGUGUAGAGUGCGUAAAGGGUUAGAAUAGGGUAAUGGGAGCAAUCGCCGGUUGAUAAUUAGUGGAAUGCUCGUCUGGGA